AUUGAACGCUGGCGGCAUGCUUUACACAUGCCAGUCGAACGGUAACAGGCCUUCGGGUGCUGACGAGUGGCGAACGGGUGAGUAAUGCAUCGGAACGUGCCCAGAGGGGGGGGAUAACGCAGCGAAAGCUGUGCUAAUACCGCAUGUGAUCUGAGGAUGAAAGCGGGGGACCAAGCAGCAAUGUUUGGCCUCGCGCCUCUGGAGCGGCCGAUGUCAGAUUAGGUAGUUGGUGGGGUAAAGGCCUACCAAGCCGACGAUCUGUAGCUGGUCUGAGAGGACGACCAGCCACACUGGGACUGAGACACGGCCCAGACUCCUACGGGAGGCAGCAGUGGGGAAUUUUGGACAAUGGGCGCAAGCCUGAUCCAGCAAUGCCGCGUGCGGGAAGAAGGCCUUCGGGUUGUAAAACGCUUUUGUACGGAACGAAAAGGCUCUGGCUAAUACCUGGGGCUGAUGACGGUACCGUAAGAAUAAGCACCGGCUAACUACGUG
Molecule: ribosomal RNA, 492 nt
Filed under: uncultured bacterium
Lineage: Bacteria
Description: partial 16S ribosomal RNA
Rfam family: Bacterial small subunit ribosomal RNA
Source: RNAcentral